ACUCCUACGGGAGGCAGCAGUGGGGAAUUUUGGACAAUGGGCGAAAGCCUGAUCCAGCAAUGCCGCGUGAGUGAAGAAGGCCUUCGGGUUGUAAAGCUCUUUUGUCAGGGAAGAAACGGUGAAAGCUAAUAUCUUUUGCUAAUGACGGUACCUGAAGAAUAAGCACCGGCUAACUACGUGCCAGCAGCCGCGGUAAUACGUAGGGUGCAAGCGUUAAUCGGAAUUACUGGGCGUAAAGCGUGCGCAGGCGGUUUUGUAAGUCUGAUGUGAAAUCCCCGGGCUCAACCUGGGAAUUGCAUUGGAGACUGCAAGGCUAGAAUCUGGCAGAGGGGGGUAGAAUUCCACGUGUAGCAGUGAAAUGCGUAGAUAUGUGGAGGAACACCGAUGGCGAAGGCAGCCCCCUGGGUCAAGAUUGACGCUCAUGCACGAAAGCGUGGGGAGCAAACAGGAUUAGAUACCCCUGUAGUCCCAUG
Molecule: ribosomal RNA, 473 nt
Filed under: uncultured organism
Description: partial 16S ribosomal RNA
Rfam family: Bacterial small subunit ribosomal RNA
Source: RNAcentral